GGAUUAGUGUAACGGUAACACACCGGACUCUGACUCCGUUUUCGGGGGUUCGAAUCCCUCAUCC
Molecule: transfer RNA, 64 nt
Filed under: human gut metagenome
Also listed under: 1 other name
Rfam family: tRNA
About the family: Transfer RNA (tRNA) molecules are approximately 80 nucleotides in length. Their secondary structure includes four short double-helical elements and three loops (D, anti-codon, and T loops).
Source: RNAcentral